GAUGAACGCUAGCGACAGGCCUAACACAUGCAAGUCGAGGGGCAGCACAUGAGUAGCAAUACGAUGGUGGCGACCGGCGCACGGGUGAGUAACACGUAUGCAACCUGCCUUCUACUAUGGGAUAACCCGUUGAAAGACGGACUAAUACCCCAUGGACCCUUAGCCCCGCAUGGGGCGGAGGGUAAAGCUCCGGCGGGAAUGGAUGGGCAUGCGUGCCAUUAGCUGGUUGGUGGGGUAACGGCCCACCAAGGCUACGAUGGCUAGGGGGUCUGGGAGGAUGAUCCCCC
This 287-nucleotide ribosomal RNA is filed under the name uncultured bacterium. RNAcentral describes it as "partial 16S ribosomal RNA". It matches the Rfam family "Bacterial small subunit ribosomal RNA", at positions 28 to 309 of the family's 1533-position model. The record is from RNAcentral.